This 92-nucleotide non-coding RNA is filed under the name Salmo salar (Atlantic salmon). RNAcentral describes it as "Eukaryotic large subunit ribosomal RNA". It matches the Rfam family "Eukaryotic large subunit ribosomal RNA", at positions 2197 to 2322 of the family's 3401-position model. Lineage: Eukaryota; Metazoa; Chordata; Actinopteri; Salmoniformes; Salmonidae. The record is from Rfam by way of RNAcentral.
CCGCUUCAAACUAUCAAACUGAAGAAAUUCAAUGAGGUGCGGGUAAAGGUAGCCAAAUGCCUCGUCAUCUAAUUAGUGACACGCAUGAAUGG